AGUGAACGCUGGCGGUAGGCCUAACACAUGCAAGUCGAACGGCAGCACAGUAAGAGCUUGCUCUUACGGGUGGCGAGUGGCGGACGGGUGAGGAAUACAUCGGAAUCUACUUUUUCGUGGGGGAUAACGUAGGGAAACUUACGCUAAUACCGCAUACGACCUACGGGUGAAAGCAGGGGAUCUUCGGACCUUGCGCGAUUGAAUGAGCCGAUGUCGGAUUAGCUAGUUGGCGGGGUAAAGGCCCACCAAGGCGACGAUCCGUAGCUGGUCUGAGAGGAUGAUCGGCCACACUGGAACGGAGACACGGUCCAGACUCCUACGGGAGGCAGCAGUGGGGAAUAUUGGACAAUGGGCGCAAGCCUGAUCCAGCCAUACCGCGUGGGUGAAGAAGGCCUUCGGGUUGUAAAGCCCUUUUGUUGGGAAAGAAAAGCAGCAGGUUAAUACCCCGCUGUUCUGACGGUACCCAAAGAAUAAGCACCGGCUAACUUCGUG
Molecule: ribosomal RNA, 492 nt
Filed under: uncultured bacterium
Lineage: Bacteria
Description: partial 16S ribosomal RNA
Rfam family: Bacterial small subunit ribosomal RNA
Source: RNAcentral